UUAACUGAAGCCAAAAAGAGGCAUGUUUCUGUUAAAAAUAUUAUUGAAAAAAUUUUUCCAGUUAAA
This 66-nucleotide transfer RNA is filed under the name Corethrella condita. RNAcentral's name for it is "tRNA-Asn". Lineage: Eukaryota; Metazoa; Arthropoda; Insecta; Diptera; Corethrellidae. The record is from RNAcentral.